Orcinus orca (killer whale) is the source of this 2444-nucleotide long non-coding RNA. RefSeq lists it as uncharacterized. The transcript is spliced from 2 exons. The record is from RefSeq and is a predicted model, not a curated record. NCBI's taxonomy places the organism in Eukaryota, Metazoa, Chordata, Mammalia, Artiodactyla, Delphinidae.
GAAACUGCCACAACCUAUAUCAGAAAGAUAUAGAGCUAAAUGACAUUUGACUCCUGGAGAUUACUCUAAGGACAUAUACUUUAUAAAGCCCUUGAUUUUCACUUCCCACUUGGAGAGCUAAACAUUGGGGCACAACAGAGUCCAAGUAAUCCUGUUAACCAGCAAGCGUUUAAUGAGUACCAGUUCCUACACUGCACAUCAUAGGUGCUCUGAGGGAUAUUAGAGGAAUGAGGCAUGAUCUCUGACCUCAAGAAGCUUAACACCUUGUAACAGAGACAGAUACAUACGUGAAUAACUAACAUCAAGGGGACUGUGAUGAGUGUCAAAGCACAGGUAGAAACAAAGAGCUAUAUUCAGUCAACAAAUAUUUAAACACAUACUGUGUGCUACUUUGUUGAGGUACAAAAAUAAAUUAGACAUGCUGCCUUUCAGACAACAAUAAAUGGAACUUAUACACGUUCUGUGAUGUGUAGAGACGCCCCAAAGAGGGAAAUAUGAACUGGGAAAGAAGAGAAGUUUCUCAGAGAGGGAAAUCUAGAAGGCUGAAUAGAGGCACCCAGCUGACAGGGUGAAGAAAUGGCAACCCAAUAGGGAGAACCGUGUGUGCAAAAAGCAUCGGAGUACACAGCUCGCUUGAGGACCAGAGCAUCAUAGGACUGUUCUGUCACCCAGCUCAGUAGUUCGUCCACAGAAAGAGACAGUGGGACACAGGAUGAUACAGGGUUGGGAUUUGGUUGGAUAGACUUUGAUUUUUCUACCUAUGAAUUUUUCUGACGGUGGUGCUUUCCAAGAACUCAAAUCCCUGUGGUUGGACGGAGGCUGAGACGGUCCAAGGGGAAGAUCCAACAGAGCACAGGCUGGAUCGAGAAGGAAGUCAAGUCAGGAGGAGGAUGACAGACUGGGGGAAAGCAAGAAACUCGUGGUCUGGAUAAAGUGAAAGAGCAAAGAUGGUGUAGUGGCAGCAAGAGAAGAUGUUGCAGUCAAUGAUUGAGGUGUAAUAUUUCAAACCGCAGCCUGUGUGGUGUGUAAGCUGGCACAGAGGCAAAGGCAAGAGAAAAAGUAGGAUGGAAAGGAGAGAGCAAACAAGAUGAUUUGAAGGAAGAUUCUGUAAAAUGUGUUGACUGACGUGCCCCACCACCUGACCUCCCCUCUACAUCUGCAAGGAUGGAAUCACCGCUGUGUGGUGUGGAAUGACUUCUUAUGGUCCUUCCGUUGCAGACCUUGGAGCCGCCCUGAUGAGAUGAAUGAAGGAACAAAUGGCUUCAAUUAUCUUCAUAUUUUAUAUGUUGUUGAGUUUAAAAAUUCCAAAUGCAUCUGCAAUUAAAAAACCCAAUCAUCCCAAUAUUCCUUCAGUGUGAACUACUUCUUUUAAAAAUUUACCACUCCAUUUAACUUGCUCUCAUUUUCAAUAAAACUCAAAAAGAAAAACUGAACUAAAUUGAUACCGGAGUGGAAAGACUUGUGGCUUAAUUUUGGCAGGGCGGGGUGUAUAUUUUGGACUACAUCUUUCUACCAUAACUACAUUUGGCUGGAAUUUCUGCAAGAAGUAAGACAGGAUAGUGGUGAUGAUUUAAGGAUUUGGAGCCAAACAACUCUAGCUCCGCCAUCAGCUAGCCAUGUUGACUUGGGGCACACUUAUGUAACCCCUCUGAGCCUCAGACUCUGUGUUUAUAAAAUGGGGAAAGAAGGGGAGUUCCCUGGUUGCCUAGUGGUUAGGGUUUGCUUUCACUGUGGAGGUCCGGGUUCGACUCCUGGUUGGGGAACCAUCCUGCAUGCCAUGCAGCAUGGCCAAAAUACAAAAAAUAAAUAAAAAUAAAUUUAAAAAAAUAAAAUGAGGCUAGAAAAGCACCCCUUCAGGACCACAUUCAGUGGCCAGGAUAAUGCUACACACCACUGGUGCAUAGUUCCUGUUCAAUAAAUGUUACAUGCUAUUGUUGGUGCUACAACAAACAGCCCUCCUGGAUAACGAAUGCAAAAUGUUAAAAUAGCUCCAACUAAUUUUAUCUAGGAAAAAGUUACUGGGAGCUGAAGAACAAGAGUACUUUCUUUUGGCAACAGAGAAAACUUAUGUUCAUAAAAAUGAAGAGAAACAUGAUGUUUAAAAUACACUCUUCAAACAAGGACAGCUGAAUGUCAACCAUUGUUGGAACGUUGCCAACGGAUAUAUGGAUGGUGUUAUACUCUUUAAAACAAGUUCAAGGGGCUUCCCUGGUGGCGCAGUGGUUGAGAGUCCGCCUGCCGAUGCGAGCGACAUGGGUUUGUGCCCCGGUCCGGGAAGAUCCCACGUGCCGCGGAGCGGCUGGGCCCGUGAGCCAUGGCCUCUGAGCCUGUGCGUCCGGAGCCUGUGCUCCGCAACGGGAGAGGCCACAACAGUGAGAGGCCCACAUACCGCAAAAAAAAAAAAAAAAAGAAAAAAAAAAAGAAAAAAAUAAAAUAAAAUAAAA